This 305-nucleotide ribosomal RNA is filed under the name uncultured bacterium. RNAcentral's name for it is "bacterial SSU rRNA". It matches the Rfam family "Bacterial small subunit ribosomal RNA", at positions 337 to 640 of the family's 1533-position model. The record is from RNAcentral.
GCCUACGGGGGGCAGCAGUGAGGAAUAUUGGUCAAUGGGCUUACGCCUGAACCAGCCAAGCCGCGUGAGGGAGGAAGGUACAGAGUAUCGUAAACCUCUUUUGUCAGGGAACAAAGGCGGGGACGUGUCCCCGGAUGAGUGUACCUGAAGAAAAAGCAUCGGCUAACUCCGUGCCAGCAGCCGCGGUAAUACGGAGGAUGCGAGCGUUAUCCGGAUUUAUUGGGUUUAAAGGGUGCGCAGGCGGUCUGUUAAGUCAGCGGUCAAAGCCCGGGGCUCAACCCCGGCCCGCCGUUGAAACUGGCAGU